CCUGAACGCUAGCGGCGUGGUUAAGACAUGCAAGUCGCACGGGCCCGGGGCAACUCGGGCCAGUGGCGGACGGGUGAGUAAUGCAUCGCCAACGUACCCCGGACUCCGGGAUAAGCGGCCGAAAGGCCGGGUAAUACCGGACGAGAUCGCGGCAGGGCAUCCUGCCGCGCUCAAGGGAGCAAUCCGGUCCGGGAUCGGGCAAUGUCGUAUCAGCUAGUUGGCGGGGUAACGGCCACCAAGGCGACGACGCGUAGCUGGUCUGAGAGGACGGCCAGCCACAUCGGGACUGAGACACUGCCCGGACUCCUACGGGGGGCUGCAGUAACGAAUCUUCCGCAAUGCACGCAAGUGUGACGGAGCGACGCCGCGUGUGGG
Molecule: ribosomal RNA, 375 nt
Filed under: uncultured bacterium
Lineage: Bacteria
Description: bacterial SSU rRNA
Rfam family: Bacterial small subunit ribosomal RNA
Source: RNAcentral